RNAcentral lists this non-coding RNA (22 nucleotides) under Arabidopsis thaliana (thale cress). Lineage: Eukaryota; Viridiplantae; Streptophyta; Magnoliopsida; Brassicales; Brassicaceae. The record is from RNAcentral.
UGUACAGGUAGCUCAAACUGCA